Molecule: ribosomal RNA, 431 nt
Filed under: uncultured bacterium
Lineage: Bacteria
Description: bacterial SSU rRNA
Rfam family: Bacterial small subunit ribosomal RNA
Source: RNAcentral
AACGCGAAGAACCUUACCGAGGCUUGACAUAUUGCUGAAAGGUCUAGAGAUAGAUCCGUCCUUCGGGACAGUAAUACAGGUGGUGCAUGGUUGUCGUCAGCUCGUGUCGUGAGAUGUUGGGUUAAGUCCCGCAACGAGCGCAACCCUUGCUUUUAGUUGCCAGCAUUAAGUUGGGCACUCUAAAGGGACUGCCGGUGAUAAAUCGGAGGAAGGUGGGGACGACGUCAAAUCAUCAUGCCCCUUAUGUCUCGGGCUACACACGUACUACAAUGGCUAUUACAGAGGGAAGCGAAGGAGUAAUCUGGAGCAAAUCCAAAAAGAUAGUCCCAGUUCGGAUUGUGGGCUGCAACUCGCCCACAUGAAGUCGGAAUUGCUAGUAAUUGCAGGUCAGCAUACUGCAGUGAAUACGUUCCCGGGUCUUGUACACACCG